Molecule: long non-coding RNA, 1993 nt
Organism: Lolium perenne
Lineage: Eukaryota; Viridiplantae; Streptophyta; Magnoliopsida; Poales; Poaceae
Source: RefSeq, a predicted model, not a curated record
UCCUUGAAUAGAUUGCUACUACUGAUUGAGUUUCCCUAAUGCCUUGGUCAAAGCGGUGCUGCUGGACCCACCUCCACCCCCCCUUUUUUUAGAGAACCCACUCCACCGCUUGAAUCUGUGACAUAAAAAAAGACCCACCACUCACGAUGCCUGGCAAAUCGGAGAAAUAGAGGACCAAACCAAUCACGCCUCUUUUUUCUCCCUUCCUCCCCAUCACGGUCGCCUGCUCCCAUCCUUCUUCCCCACAUGUUACUGCGGUGGAGCAGUGGCCCGCUCGGGACCAUGACGCCGACGAGCGGGGGCUGCAGCUUGAGGCGGCGUUUGACGGAGGACUCCUUGCCGCCGUUGAGGACGGCUGAGGAAAGGGCAGGCGCUAGGUGAGGACAUGGGGUCCGUAGCACCCCGUCCAUGGUGGUGCCGAUAUCGGGGAUGCUUCCCGCACCCGUGUCUGCGAUGAUGGACGGCUCCGAUUGCUGCAGCAGCCAGAGCAUGGUCUCGCCAUCGGACUUGUGCCCUAGCUGUGUCCACGCCUCCGUGGACAAAACCUAAUCGACGGGCGCAGACUGCAAAGUCCGUCUCGCCCAUCAUCGGCUGGCGCGAUGUCCUGGGACGCGAGGCCCUGCUCCAGCUCAAUGUCCACCUAUGCGAUGUCGUCGAAGCCAACAGGCUGAUGGCAGGGGCAUGGCGCCAUCUUCCCUACCCGACUUGGCCAGCGGCACAGAGGAGGACCUCGGUGCCGUUUUCUUCAUCCCGAGGUGGCGCAAUAUGGGAGGACAUGAUGUCGGAUGUUGGUCUCUUCCGGAUGCACCCCCGUGUGAUGCAUCACCGUUCACAUGGAGUUCAGGAAGAAACACAAAAGUAAAAAUAUAGAGGUAUACUUCUUCUCCAACUUAUUUCUUGCAACUAAUAUAUUGUCAUUGGUACACUAAUUGUUUUAGUUGCACAACACUGUUUUCAUACAAGAAAAUGUUGAUUUCCUCAAGAAAGGGAGCGAACGCACCGUAUCGAAUUUCACCUAUUGUUUGCUGCUUCUGGAGUAGCAGCAUAUCAUGUUCCUUAAUUUGGUACUUUUUGGGUUUGUUAUUACCAAAUAUUAACUGGAUGAAUGCUUCAGUUUCUAUUAUAUUCUUUCAAACCAAUAAGGAAAGAGGGUGUCAAGACUGUUCUACUCAGUCUCCACUUCGUCUGGAGAUGAUUGCGAACUUGAUUUUUUUUAUACAUGUAUAUGUAGCUAAGUUAGAUACUUUCAGAUUUGGGUUUGUGCUUCGUAUCACACCUUUAUGUUUGCUAUGAUUGAUAAUGGAGAAUUGAUGAAAUUAGAAUUCCCAGCUAAAAUCAAAUGCAUAUCAAGUUUAUAGAUAGAUGCUCCUAUGUCACAACUACAUGCAUUUUACAGAUCUCCUGGUGCCCAAAAUCAAUAGCUUCACUUUUUCAAGGCCUUAUGAUGCAUGCCAAUUUUAUAAAUUGAGAAAGGAUUCUCAAACAGCCGUGAAAAAUUCAUCGAUUCCAGUUUUUGGUGCCUAGAGAAUUUUGAUGGCUAGCCCUGAAGUGCAUGUACUGGUGGUACUCUUUUGCUGAAACAAUGUGUUGGUUCAUGAGUAAUUUAUCCUCCCAUGCUGCCCACUGCUUAAUUCAUGUGGCUAUACAUGCUGAUGCAAUUCUAGAUACUGUGUUUUCUACCGAUGUUUUUGUGGUGAGUUUAUAAUUUACCCACCACACUUUUUUUGGUCUUAUAUGCAAAUGAUGGCCUGAUUAUUUGAAUUCAAUUGCAGGAGCAGGAGUACAAUCAGGGAAUUAGCUUCAGAAGACUGUACAAACUUGGUGCAGUCAUAGAUACCGCUUAUUUAGUACUAUAAAUCAUGUUACCUCUACCUUAUCUAUGCUUUAUAUUACCAGCUGACUAUGUUAUGGCGUAGCAGUCAGUAGUUUCUCUAUUGUACUUUGUGCUGCUCUAUAUAGACGUAACUAUCAUACUGAAGGAUAUCUUUUUUUA